GAUGCCGUUAUCACGAAAUCAUCUAAAGUUUGUGACCUUCAUUUUGACGACGACGCCAUUGUUAGAAGUCGUCUGUCGAUUGUGGACGGGAAACCAACAUCAGUCGUCGUUCGUCCCGUUCUAAAACCUGGAGCUGUUCCCACAAAGUUUCAGAGCAUUGUUUAUUUGUGAGUUUAAAAUCUCGUUCGGAUGUUCCCUGAAAAUCAUUAGCAGUUUAUGGUAAACGUAUUGUUUCUUUCCGCCAUGACAUCGAAGUUUUUUCUCUUUCUGUUUUCUGACGCAUUCGUGCACGGUCAUGUUGCAUGUGCUGUCCGCAGGUAGCGUUCAUACUGAACGAGUACUGAAUAACCUCGUUAGCCUUGUCUUUAGCCAAGACAAUACAUCCUUGUAACCAAGUUUCCGAUAUUGUAACUUGUUAACUGUUAGUCGUGAAUGCCUUGCAGGAAUCUAGUACGAAACUUUUACUCAAUACACCCAAGAAAAGCGGAUGUAGCAGAUAUUACAGUAUAUCUUGACAUUUCUUUGUUGUGUUAAAAAAUAGCAGACAGCCUGCUAUUGCUUUUGAUUAGCAAUUACCAGUGGAUUAAUAAUCGGUACUUUGUUGCACCAGAUGUUUAGACCUGCAGGUUGCCAAACGAUAGUUAAUGUUAACAUAAUAAAGACGUGGCACAUCACUUUUCGGGAAUGCCAGACGAACAGGCAAACGUCAGACGAGGAUUUGAGUCUGCUGGGAAACCGAACCCCAUCUCACCAUUGCCAGUGAUCACCCGUCGUUAGGUCGAAGAAACCUCCUGUCCAAAGCAGCCUACGUUCUUGAUCCGUUUUUUGGAAUGGUGUACUCUUAUUGUUCCGUACAGCAUUAUCGACGAAAAUGUCUUCACAUCUCGACCCGAUCGUGAGCCAACUUGCAUCGUUUUGGCAAACCUCCUGCAUUGUCGAAUACGGCAACUUUUGGCACGAAGGUGAAUCUUAUUGUCGUUACGACAAUCAGAGCCACGAUCAGUGGCACAAGAAAAGUAAAGCAAAUGGCUGUGAUUGAGGUAAUUGAUCUACUUUUGUUUUUGGUGUCCUGUUUCUGGAGUUUAGUUUGUUUUCUGUUUUUUUUUAUAGGUACGUGAAUCUGUUCGCCUGUGUGAGACCUGAGUGGUGGUGGAACGUAACUUUGUGCUUCAUCGUCUAGGGCAAUGAUUUCAUCACGUGGUGUUCGGGAAUAUAAGAGAAAUUGGGCCACGAUGGAAACGACACAGAAGAAAGAGUGCAAACCAACGAGGAGAGUUAUGACAGCCGAAUCUCCGACUAGUACUAGUUCGUUUUCAACCAUCAGGACGUUUUUGUAAAACAAAAGGACGCUCUGGAUAACUAGCAUGAGCAAAACGAAUAGGAUUGCACAGCGAUGGACAUUGGCACCGGAGUAAGUUGGCUGAUAUGUUUGAACCAUUGUAUAGCGAUCAAUGAUAUAUCCAAUUGCCAGACACAGGACGCUUAUAGCUAUGAUGGGGGGAAACGUGAAAUAUCCCACGCACGUUAUGACAAACUGCGCCACCAGUUGGGAAUAGCGUUCUCCGAUGUUGAACCUGUCACGCAGAAAUGGACUGUCUGCCUUGGGAGAUUUGGUUAAACGCAGCCACAGUCUGUUUACCCAUUGCGUUACUCGAGAGCCCAAGUCUGGCCGGAAAACGCACUGCAGCCGAAUCCAGUGAUUCAAAACGUUUGGAUCUGUUUGAGUCCAGAUGAUGGAAUUCCAGAUGUCCUUGAAGUUGAGCAUGGGUAACACGAUUUCAGACACCACGAUAAUGAUGAAUGAAGAGAAAAAGAGUCCUAAGUGAGCACUGGAUUUUCUCAUGUGAUCCACUUGGAAGGCUGGACAGAGGCGAACAAUUACCAAGAAAACUAUUGUCAAAAUCGAUUUCGAGUAACGUAGAACAGCGUAGAAGAUGUUUUGUUUGUCGACUAGGAGUUUCAGCGAUUCGACGAAUAUCGUGGAUCCUGCUAGGGAUUGGACCAUACGAUAUCACGAGAUGGUGGAGCCCAUUCAACUCGCCAACCUCUUAGUGUCCGGUGAUUGAUUAAGUAUUUGCUUGCUUUCACUGCAUGCUCUCGUGUUCUGAAUGUGACGAAAGCUGCAGUGGCUGGAUGGCUUGUUGAUGGCUUCUCCAUUAGCUUGUGGAUAAUACUUAUUCCAGUCACAAUAUCAGCAUUGUUGUCUCGGAAGUAUGACCUCAAAUAUUCCUCGGUGCAUUUUUCGUAAUUGAUCCGUGAGAUGAGCAGUGUCCGUAUUGUUUCACCGUUGCCCAUAAUGGUUUGGUUUCGGUACAGAUGAUAGGAAAAGGUUGAAAAUAUUCGCAUUAGUAAAACCGUGAUUACCAUUAAGAAAGAUGGUAUCAAAAUGGCUAUCAAGCAGAGUUGAAAACUGAGUAAAGCCAGUCCGUCUGUUCCUUGCUGUUCCGUCAAAUGUCUAGCGAUGUCACCCCAGAUUCUACGGGCCGUACUUCUCAUCGAGGCCAGUGUUCCUUCUCCUACGUGCUCCAUUUCGUCGUCUUCUUGGCUAUGGGCGGAUUCAGUGUCAUUGUGACAGUAGGAAAGCGGAUUAUCGUAGGUUCGAAAUAAAAAUUCUCCCACUCCAGAGAUUCCUAGGACGAUUAACAGUGUUAAUAUAUAAAACAAGAUUGUCUUAUUCAAUAAAAACACUGUGAUGUUGUUGAAAACUCCCUGAUCUGAUGGGCAGUUUCGUGUUAGCAUUAACUCGUUUGACGGGUCAUAUGCCUCAGUUUCAAGGAGUUCCAGAAUAACCUCCAUGAUCCCAUCAAUACUCACUCUUGGAUUCAUUUCGUGAAUUUUUCGCACAUCGCUACAAGUGAAAUGCGUUCCAUCACGUGUUGACAAAUAGAUAAUGUCAAGUAA
Molecule: long non-coding RNA, 2901 nt
Organism: Daphnia carinata
Lineage: Eukaryota; Metazoa; Arthropoda; Branchiopoda; Diplostraca; Daphniidae
Exons: 7
Source: RefSeq, a predicted model, not a curated record